Molecule: microRNA, 21 nt
Filed under: Danio rerio (zebrafish)
Lineage: Eukaryota; Metazoa; Chordata; Actinopteri; Cypriniformes; Danionidae
Description: Dre-Let-7-P2c2b_3p* (star (passenger))
Source: RNAcentral
CUGCGCAAGCUACUCCCUUGC